AUCCAGCCAACGAGUCUCAAAUAAGACUAAACGCGUGUCCUGGAU
This 45-nucleotide non-coding RNA is filed under the name Schistosoma mattheei. Lineage: Eukaryota; Metazoa; Platyhelminthes; Trematoda; Strigeidida; Schistosomatidae. The record is from RNAcentral.